Molecule: ribosomal RNA, 324 nt
Filed under: Triticum aestivum (bread wheat)
Lineage: Eukaryota; Viridiplantae; Streptophyta; Magnoliopsida; Poales; Poaceae
Description: partial small subunit ribosomal RNA
Source: RNAcentral
AUGAGCCGGUUCGAGAACACGGGCGCCAUCAUCGACUCAGACGUCGUCAUAUAUGCUGGUGAGGUUUUUGCUCGAUUCCUCUCCCAUAACGGGUUUCAUUCAGCUGAAAAUCCAGGGGACAAUGGAUUUUGCAGCCAAGGAAAUUUAUGUAGUGGAUUUUCCAUGAAAAUCCAGUGGGCAGUGGCUGGUGAAAAUGAAGUGGACAGUGUAGGCAUGUUAUACACAACAUGGGAAUUUGUUGAUUUUUUUGUCCACGACAAUUUUAAUGCAAAAAUAGAUCCAUAUCAUGGGCAUUUUGCCAUGUGGCAUGGUUGCAUCACAUAA